Molecule: non-coding RNA, 84 nt
Filed under: Paenibacillus sp.
Lineage: Bacteria; Bacillati; Bacillota; Bacilli; Caryophanales; Paenibacillaceae
Also listed under: 1 other name
Description: c-di-GMP-II sequence
Rfam family: Cyclic di-GMP-II riboswitch aptamer
Source: RNAcentral
AGAUACAUGGUAAGCGAUGAUUUCGAAUCUGUAUCUGGGCACUUGGAUUCGACGGAGCUAGUAGUGCAACCGGACCACCCUUCA